AGAGUUUGAUCAUGGCUCAGAUUGAACGCUGGCGGCAGGCCUAACACAUGCAAGUCGAGCGGUAGCACAGAGAGCUUGCUCUCGGGUGACGAGCGGCGGACGGGUGAGUAAUGUCUGGGAAACUGCCUGAUGGAGGGGGAUAACUACUGGAAACGGUAGCUAAUACCGCAUAAUGUCGCAAGACCAAAGUGGGGGACCUUCGGGCCUCAUGCCAUCAGAUGUGCCCAGAUGGGAUUAGCUAGUAGGUGGGGUAAUGGCUCACCUAGGCGACGAUCCCUAGCUGGUCUGAGAGGAUGACCAGCCACACUGGAACUGAGACACGGUCCAGACUCCUACGGGAGGCAGCAGUGGGGAAUAUUGCACAAUGGGCGCAAGCCUGAUGCAGCCAUGCCGCGUGUGUGAAGAAGGCCUUCGGGUUGUAAAGCACUUUCAGCGGGGAGGAAGGCGGUGAGGUUAAUAACCUCACCGAUUGACGUUACCCGCAGAAGAAGCACCGGCUAACUCCGUGCCAGCAGCCGCGGUAAUACGGAGGGUGCAAGCGUUAAUCGGAAUUACUGGGCGUAAAGCGCACGCAGGCGGUCUGUCAAGUCGGAUGUGAAAUCCCCGGGCUCAACCUGGGAACUGCAUUCGAAACUGGCAGGCUAGAGUCUUGUAGAGGGGGGUAGAAUUCCAGGUGUAGCGGUGAAAUGCGUAGAGAUCUGGAGGAAUACCGGUGGCGAAGGCGGCCCCCUGGACAAAGACUGACGCUCAGGUGCGAAAGCGUGGGGAGCAAACAGGAUUAGAUACCCUGGUAGUCCACGCCGUAAACGAUGUCGAUUUGGAGGUUGUGCCCUUGAGGCGUGGCUUCCGGAGCUAACGCGUUAAAUCGACCGCCUGGGGAGUACGGCCGCAAGGUUAAAACUCAAAUGAAUUGACGGGGGCCCGCACAAGCGGUGGAGCAUGUGGUUUAAUUCGAUGCAACGCGAAGAACCUUACCUGGUCUUGACAUCCACAGAACUUAGCAGAGAUGCUUUGGUGCCUUCGGGAACUGUGAGACAGGUGCUGCAUGGCUGUCGUCAGCUCGUGUUGUGAAAUGUUGGGUUAAGUCCCGCAACGAGCGCAACCCUUAUCCUUUGUUGCCAGCGGUCCGGCCGGGAACUCAAAGGAGACUGCCAGUGAUAAACUGGAGGAAGGUGGGGAUGACGUCAAGUCAUCAUGGCCCUUACGACCAGGGCUACACACGUGCUACAAUGGCAUAUACAAAGAGAAGCGACCUCGCGAGAGCAAGCGGACCUCAUAAAGUAUGUCGUAGUCCGGAUUGGAGUCUGCAACUCGACUCCAUGAAGUCGGAAUCGCUAGUAAUCGUAGAUCAGAAUGCUACGGUGAAUACGUUCCCGGGCCUUGUACACACCGCCCGUCACACCAUGGGAGUGGGUUGCAAAAGAAGUAGGUAGCUUAACCUUCGGGAGGGCGCUUACCACUUUGUGAUUCAUGACUGGGGUGAAGUCGUAACAAGGUAACCGUAGGGGAACCUGCGGUUG
This 1520-nucleotide ribosomal RNA is filed under the name Klebsiella pneumoniae. Its description in RNAcentral is "bacterial SSU rRNA". It matches the Rfam family "Bacterial small subunit ribosomal RNA". Lineage: Bacteria; Pseudomonadati; Pseudomonadota; Gammaproteobacteria; Enterobacterales; Enterobacteriaceae. The record is from RNAcentral.